RNAcentral lists this ribosomal RNA (249 nucleotides) under uncultured Bacteroidota bacterium. RNAcentral's name for it is "uncultured Bacteroidetes bacterium partial 16S ribosomal RNA". It matches the Rfam family "Bacterial small subunit ribosomal RNA", at positions 1 to 260 of the family's 1533-position model. Lineage: Bacteria; Pseudomonadati; Bacteroidota. The record is from RNAcentral.
UAGUGAGUUUGAUCCUGGCUCAGGAUGAACGCUAGCGGCAGGCCUAAUACAUGCAAGUCGAACGGAUGUCAGCAAUGGCAUUAGUGGCGCACGGGUGCGUAACGCGUAGGCAAUCUGCCUAUCUCUGGGGGAUAGCCCGCCGAAAGGGGGAUUAAUACCGCAUAACCACCGACAACACGGCAUCGUGUCAUGGUUAAAGAAUUUCGGAGAUAGAUGAGCCUGCGUGCCAUUAGCUAGUUGGUAAGGUAA